GGGUUGUGAGGUUAAGCGACUAAGCGUACACGGUGGAUGCCCUGGCAGUCAGAGGCGAUGAAGGACGUGCUAAUCUGCGAUAAGCGUCGGUGAGGUGAUAUGAACCGUUAUAACCGGCGAUUUCCGAAUGGGGAAACCCAGUGUGUUUCGACACACUAUCAUUAACUGAAUCCAUAGGUUAAUGAGGCGAACCGGGGGAACUGAAACAUCUAAGUACCCCGAGGAAAAGAAAUCAACCGAGAUUCCCCCAGUAGCGGCGAGCGAACGGGGAGGAGCCCAGAGCCUGAAUCAGUGUGUGUGUUAGUGGAAGCGUCUGGAAAGGCGUGCGAUACAGGGUGACAGCCCCGUACACAAAAAUGCACAUAUUGUGAGCUCGAUGAGUAGGGCGGGACACGUGGUAUCCUGUCUGAAUAUGGGGGGACCAUCCUCCAAGGCUAAAUACUCCUGACUGACCGAUAGUGAACCAGUACCGUGAGGGAAAGGCGAAAAGAACCCCGGCGAGGGGAGUGAAAAAGAACCUGAAACCGUGUACGUACAAGCAGUGGGAGCCUCUUAAUGGGGUGACUGCGUACCUUUUGUAUAAUGGGUCAGCGACUUAUAUUCUGUAGCAAGGUUAACCGAAUAGGGGAGCCGAAGGGAAACCGAGUCUUAACUGGGCGUUAAGUUGCAGGGUAUAGACCCGAAACCCGGUGAUCUAGCCAUGGGCAGGUUGAAGGUUGGGUAACACUAACUGGAGGACCGAACCGACUAAUGUUGAAAAAUUAGCGGAUGACUUGUGGCUGGGGGUGAAAGGCCAAUCAAACCGGGAGAUAGCUGGUUCUCCCCGAAAGCUAUUUA
RNAcentral lists this ribosomal RNA (837 nucleotides) under Escherichia coli. RNAcentral describes it as "partial 23S ribosomal RNA". It matches the Rfam family "Bacterial large subunit ribosomal RNA", at positions 1 to 872 of the family's 2925-position model. The record is from RNAcentral. Lineage: Bacteria; Pseudomonadati; Pseudomonadota; Gammaproteobacteria; Enterobacterales; Enterobacteriaceae.